ACGGGAGGCAGCAGUGGGGAAUAUUGCACAAUGGGGGAAACCCUGAUGCAGCGACGCCGCGUGAGUGAAGAAGUAUUUCGGUAUGUAAAGCUCUAUCAGCAGGGAAGAAAAUGACGGUACCUGACUAAGAAGCCCCGGCUAACUACGUGCCAGCAGCCGCGGUAAUACGUAGGGGGCAAGCGUUAUCCGGAUUUACUGGGUGUAAAGGGAGCGUAGGCGGCUGUGCAAGUCAGAAGUGAAAACCCGGGGCUCAACCUCGGGACUGCUUUUGAAACUGUAUAGCUAGAGUGCAGAAGAGGCAAGCGGAAUUCCUAGUGUAGCGGUGAAAUGCGUAGAUAUUAGGAAGAACACCGGUGGCGAAGGCGGCUUGCUGGGCUGAGACUGACGCUGAGGCUCGAAAGCGUGGGGAGCAAACAGGAUUAGAUACCCUGGUA
RNAcentral lists this ribosomal RNA (434 nucleotides) under uncultured Lachnospiraceae bacterium. Its description in RNAcentral is "partial 16S ribosomal RNA". It matches the Rfam family "Bacterial small subunit ribosomal RNA", at positions 341 to 792 of the family's 1533-position model. The record is from RNAcentral. Lineage: Bacteria; Bacillati; Bacillota; Clostridia; Lachnospirales; Lachnospiraceae.